GUGCCCUACGGGGGGCAGCAGUGGGGAAUAUUGCACAAUGGGGGAAACCCUGAUGCAGAGACGCGGCGUGAGUGAGGAAGUAUUUCGGUAUGUAAAGCUCUAUCAGCAGGGAAGAAAAUGCCGGUACCUGAGUAAGAAGCCCCGGCUAACUACGUGCCAGCGGCGGCGGUAAUACGUAGGGGGCAAGCGUUAUCCGGAUUUACUGGGUGUAAAGGGAGCGUAGACGGAGGAGAAAGUCUGAUGUGAAAAU
RNAcentral lists this ribosomal RNA (250 nucleotides) under uncultured bacterium. RNAcentral's name for it is "partial 16S ribosomal RNA". It matches the Rfam family "Bacterial small subunit ribosomal RNA", at positions 334 to 601 of the family's 1533-position model. The record is from RNAcentral.